ACACCGUAUACCCACUGUUAUGGACUGCAAUAUGGUACUUGCAAUGAGUGACGGUAUGUUUUCUUCAUGAACUUGCUAUAUAUAUAGCUGUAUCCAAAGUUAUUGGCUAUGAAUCAACACGACAAGAUCUGCAAAACCUAGGGAUUAUUGUAGUGAUCUUUGCAUGCCUGCUUUAAAAAUAAAUCAGAAUUAAACUAUUUAGAUUGUGAAACUCUGUCUCAAGAUAGUAUUUCAGCAUUUACAUGUGAAGUCCAUGCUAAUGGGUUGAACUAACUUCCAGGGAAACUAGUGGAGUAUGACAAACCUACAAAGCUCAUGGAAACGGAAGGAUCUCUCUUCCGUGACCUCGUCAAAGAGUACUGGUCAUACACAUCGAAUGGAAAUAUUUAGAACUCACCUCGUCAAAGAGUACUGGUCAUACUCAUCAAUUGGAAAUACAUGUUCAGUCUCUUAAAAGGAGAUACAAAAAUCUUGGCUCGCACAACUGAAGAAGUCUU
This 497-nucleotide long non-coding RNA is filed under the name Sorghum bicolor (sorghum). Its description in RNAcentral is "long non-coding RNA (SBIC_LNC013397)". The record is from RNAcentral. Lineage: Eukaryota; Viridiplantae; Streptophyta; Magnoliopsida; Poales; Poaceae.